UCUUAGUGGCGGACGGGUGAGUAACGCGUGGAUAACCUGCCUUAUACAGGGGGAUAACGGAGAGAAAUUUCCGCUAAGACCGCAUAAGACCACAGCACCGCAUGGUGCAGGGGUAAAAUAUUUAUAGGUAUAAGAUGGAUCCGCGUCCGAUUAGCUAGUUGGUGAGGUAAAGGCCCACCAAGGCGACGAUCGGUAGCCGGCCUGAGAGGGUGAACGGCCACAUUGGGACUGAGACACGGCCCAA
RNAcentral lists this ribosomal RNA (244 nucleotides) under uncultured bacterium. RNAcentral's name for it is "partial 16S ribosomal RNA". It matches the Rfam family "Bacterial small subunit ribosomal RNA", at positions 90 to 334 of the family's 1533-position model. The record is from RNAcentral.